CCUACGGGAGGCAGCAGUGAGGAAUAUUGGUCAAUGGGCGAGAGCCUGAACCAGCCAAGUAGCGUGAAGGAUGACUGCCCUAUGGGUUGUAAACUUCUUUUAUAUGGGAAUAAAAUGUUCCACGUGUGGGAUUUUGUAUGUACCAUAGGAAUAAGGAUCGGCUAACUCCGUGCCAGCAGCCGCGGUAAUACGGAGGAUCCGAGCGUUAUCCGGAUUUAUUGGGUUUAAAGGGAGCGUAGGUGGAUUGUUAAGUCAGUUGUGAAAGUUUGCGGCUCAACCGUAAAAUUGCAGUUGAAACUGGCAGUCUUGAGUACAGUAGAGGUGGGCGGAAUUCGUGGUGUAGCGGUGAAAUGCUUAGAUAUCACGAAGAACUCCGAUUGCGAAGGCAGCUCACUGGACUGCAACUGACACUGAGGCUCGAAAGUGUGGGUAUCAAACAGGAUUAGAUACCCGAGUAGUC
This 460-nucleotide ribosomal RNA is filed under the name uncultured bacterium. Its description in RNAcentral is "partial 16S ribosomal RNA". It matches the Rfam family "Bacterial small subunit ribosomal RNA", at positions 338 to 795 of the family's 1533-position model. The record is from RNAcentral.